GCCUUCGUAGUAUAACGGUAGCACACUCGGUGCGUAUUCGAGAGGUGUAGGUUUGAGUCCUGGCGAGGGCA
Molecule: non-coding RNA, 71 nt
Organism: Stegodyphus mimosarum
Lineage: Eukaryota; Metazoa; Arthropoda; Arachnida; Araneae; Eresidae
Source: Rfam